UUGAGUCGAGGUAGCGUGAAGGGCGGUACUUUAGUUUUGGUGGUAAAGAGCAACAGUUCAGUUUUACUUUGGUUAACUCCUAGUCCACAACUCGUGGCCCAGUUGCUAACUUUCUUAAAGCUGACUCCGUGAUUUCACUAAUCACAGAGGUGUACUUUCCUGACACCAAUAGCACCAAAUCAUCCGCGUAGGCUACCGCCUUCACUCCACAUCUCUCUAAUUUAACGAGAAUUGUAUCCAUGACCAGAAGCUAUAGAAGAGGCGAAAGGACACCAACCUGGGGUGUUCUCCUACUCACGUGUUUUGUUGCGAUUGUAUUGCCUAGAGUGGCUCGAAUCUUCCUACCACUGAACAUGGAAAAAAUCCAUUCUCGAAUGAAGUCUUCUACCCCGAACUUUACGAGCGAUUCUUCUAUGGAUUCUGUAAGGACGUUGUUUAAAGCACCUUAUAUGUCUAGGAAGGUGACAAGAGUAAAUUCUUUAUAAUGGAUUGUUUGUUCUCCGUAGAUUUACCCUUAAGAUAAGCACGCUGAGAGCUUUCGAGAGGUCGUCCAACUAGGAUUUCUCUAAUAUGGUAAUCAAGAAUGUGCUCCAAGAUUUUAAGCACAAAAGAUGUUAAGUUUAUUGGUCUGAAAUCCUUCAGCGAAAACCACGGAGCAGGUGGCGUGCAAAAGUGCAAAGUGACAUCACCCAACUUGGAGCGCGAAACUGGAGACAUCUAACUAGGGAUACAAAUUGUGUCAAACGGUUAGAAAGAUCUCUCACUUCAAGAGAUCGAUAUUAAUUAAAUUGUGCUGGUUGUUCAGUUCUUCCCUGCUUCAAAUAAGUUUAUUUCUAAACCGUUAUUGAUGACUGCAAGCAAUAUAAAUAAAUAAAUAUUAUAAUAUCCAUUUUAUUUCAGAGAAACAUAAGGGAUUACUUCUUAAAAACAAAUUGUAUCCGAUGUUUACAUCACUAAUUUAAAAUUAAUGAAAAAAAAAACCUUCUUUUUGUUUCAUUUAAUUAUGCAUAAUUUUUGUUUUUUUUUUUUUUU
Long non-coding RNA from Eupeodes corollae, 1032 nucleotides. RefSeq lists it as uncharacterized. Lineage: Eukaryota; Metazoa; Arthropoda; Insecta; Diptera; Syrphidae. The record is from RefSeq and is a predicted model, not a curated record. The transcript has 2 exons.